CGCGUAGGAAUCUACCUAGAUGUGGGGGAUAACAUGGUGAAAAUCAUGCUAAUACCGCAUAUGCCCUACGGGGUAAAGAGGGCCUCUUCUUGAAAGCUCUUGCAUUUAGAUGAGCCUGCGUCGGAUUAGCUUGUUGGCGGGGUAAUGGCCCACCAAGGCGACGAUCCGUAGCUGGUCUGAGAGGAUGAUCAGCCACACUGGGACUGAGACACGGCCCAG
This 219-nucleotide ribosomal RNA is filed under the name uncultured bacterium. Its description in RNAcentral is "partial 16S ribosomal RNA". It matches the Rfam family "Bacterial small subunit ribosomal RNA", at positions 114 to 334 of the family's 1533-position model. The record is from RNAcentral.